CCUACGGGUGGCAGCAGUGAGGAAUAUUGGUCAAUGGACGAGAGUCUGAACCAGCCAAGUAGCGUGAAGGAUGACUGCCCUAUGGGUUGUAAACUUCUUUUAUAUGGGAAUAAAAUGUUCCACGUGUGGGAUUUUGUAUGUACCAUAUGAAUAAGGAUCGGCUAACUCCGUUCCAGCAGCCGCGGUAAUACGGAGGAUCCGAUCGUUAUCCGGAUUUAUUGGGUUUAAAGGGAGCGUAGGUGGAUUGUUAAGUCAGUUGUGAAAGUUUGCGGCUCAACCGUAAAAUUGCAGUUGAAACUGGCAGUCUUGAGUACAGUAGAGGUGGGCGGAAUUCGUGGUGUAGCGGUGAAAUGCUUAGAUAUCACGAAGAACUCCGAUUGCGAAGGCAGUUCACUGGACUGCAACUGACACUGAGGCUCGAAAGUGUGGGUAUCAAACAGGAUUAGAUACCCCUGUAGUC
This 460-nucleotide ribosomal RNA is filed under the name uncultured bacterium. RNAcentral describes it as "partial 16S ribosomal RNA". It matches the Rfam family "Bacterial small subunit ribosomal RNA", at positions 338 to 795 of the family's 1533-position model. The record is from RNAcentral.